CCCAGACUCCUACGGGAGGCAGCAGUGGGGGAUAUUGCACAAUGGGGGGAACCCUGAUGCAGCGACGCCGCGUGGGUGAAGAAGCGCCUCGGCGCGUAAAGCCCUGUCAGCAGGGAAGAAAAUGACGGUACCUGAAGAAGAGGCCCCGGCUAACUACGUGCCAGCAGCCGCGGUAAUACGUAGGGGGCAAGCGUUAUCCGGAUUUACUGGGUGUAAAGGGGGCGCAGACGGCAAUGCAAGCCAGGAGUGAAAGCCCGGGGCCCAACCCCGGGACUGCUCUUGGAACUGCAUGGCUGGAGUACAGGAGGGGCAGGCGGAAUUCCUAGUGUAGCGGUGAAAUGCGUAGAUAUUAGGAGGAACACCAGUGGCGAAGGCGGCCUGCUGGACGACAACUGACGGUGAGGCGCGAAAGCGUGGGGAGCAAACAGGAUUAGAUACCCCCGUACGG
Molecule: ribosomal RNA, 448 nt
Filed under: uncultured bacterium
Lineage: Bacteria
Description: bacterial SSU rRNA
Rfam family: Bacterial small subunit ribosomal RNA
Source: RNAcentral